ACAACUUUCAGCAACGGAUCUCUUGGCUCUCGCAUCGAUGAAGAACGCAGCGAAAUGCGAUAAGUAAUGUGAAUUGCAGAAUUCAGUGAAUCAUCGAAUCUUUGAACGCACCUUGCGCUCCUUGGUAUUCCGAGGAGCAUGCCUGHUUGAGAGHCAUGAA
RNAcentral lists this ribosomal RNA (160 nucleotides) under Polyporus arcularius. RNAcentral's name for it is "5.8S rRNA". It matches the Rfam family "5.8S ribosomal RNA". Rfam says of the family: 5.8S ribosomal RNA (5.8S rRNA) is a component of the large subunit of the eukaryotic ribosome. It is transcribed by RNA polymerase I as part of the 45S precursor that also contains 18S and 28S rRNA. RNAcentral also lists the same sequence under 1 other name. The record is from RNAcentral. Lineage: Eukaryota; Fungi; Basidiomycota; Agaricomycetes; Polyporales; Polyporaceae.